This 253-nucleotide ribosomal RNA is filed under the name uncultured bacterium. RNAcentral's name for it is "partial 16S ribosomal RNA". It matches the Rfam family "Bacterial small subunit ribosomal RNA", at positions 524 to 776 of the family's 1533-position model. The record is from RNAcentral.
UACAGAGGUCUCAAGCGUUGUUCGGAUUCAUUGGGCGUAAAGGGUGCGCAGGUGGCGCCGUAAGUCAGGUGUGAAAUUUCGGAGCUUAACUCCGAAACUGCAUUUGAUACUGCGGUGCUUGAGGACUGGAGAGGAGACUGGAAUUUACGGUGUAGCAGUGAAAUGCGUAGAGAUCGUAAGGAAGACCAGUGGCGAAGGCGGGUCUCUGGACAGUUCCUGACGCUGAGGCACGAAGGUCAGGGGAGCAAACGGG